Molecule: transfer RNA, 73 nt
Filed under: Clostridiales bacterium
Lineage: Bacteria; Bacillati; Bacillota; Clostridia; Eubacteriales
Description: tRNA-Val
Rfam family: tRNA
About the family: Transfer RNA (tRNA) molecules are approximately 80 nucleotides in length. Their secondary structure includes four short double-helical elements and three loops (D, anti-codon, and T loops).
Source: RNAcentral
GGGAACAUAGCUCAGAUGGGAGAGCAUCUGCCUUACAAGCAGAGGGUCACAGGUUCGAGUCCUGUUGCUCCCA